UCCGGCUUAACGCCGGCAGUCUCGCUAGAGUCCUCAGCAUGACCCGUUAGCAACUAGCGACAGGGGUUUCGCUCGUUAAGGGACUUAACCCGACACUUCACAGCACGAGCUGACGACAGCCGUGCAACACCUGUGCACGUUUCACCCCGAAGGGCAACUUCCGGCAUUACCCGGUUGUAUCCGUGCAUGUCAAACCCAGGUAAGGUUCUUCGCGUUGCUUCGAAUUAAGCCACAUGCUCCACCGCUUGUGUGAGCCCCCGUCAAUUCCUUUGAGUUUUAGCCUUGCGGCCGUACUCCCCAGGCGGCACACUUAGCACUUUUGCUACGGCGCCGACAUCGUCAGAGAUACCGGCACCUAGUGUGCAUCGUUUACGGCGUGGACUAC
Molecule: unclassified non-coding RNA, 385 nt
Filed under: uncultured Phycisphaerae bacterium
Lineage: Bacteria; Pseudomonadati; Planctomycetota; Phycisphaerae
Description: contains 16S-23S intergenic spacer region
Source: RNAcentral